CAAACGGCCCUUUUUAGGGCCACCCAAACCUUCUAAGAGCAUGGAU
Non-coding RNA from Oryzias latipes (Japanese medaka), 46 nucleotides. NCBI's taxonomy places the organism in Eukaryota, Metazoa, Chordata, Actinopteri, Beloniformes, Adrianichthyidae. The record is from Rfam.